GAUGAACGCUGGCGGCGUGCUUAACACAUGCAAGUCGAACGGAAAGGCCUCUGCUUGCAGGGGUACUCGAGUGGCGAACGGGUGAGUAACACGUGGGUGAUCUGCCCUGCACUUCGGGAUAAGCCUUGGAAACUGGGUCUAAUACCGGAUAGGACAAUGUUUUGGAUGCUGUUGUGGAAAGUUUUUCGGUGUGGGUUGAGCUCGCGGCCUAUCAGCUUUUUGGUGGGGUAGUGGCGUAGCAAGGCGUCUAGGGGUAGCCGGCCUGUGAGGGGGUAGGGGCACACUGGGACUGGGAGACAGGCCAGAGUCGUACGGGGGGCAGAAGUGGGGAAUAUUGCACAAAGGGCGCAAGCGUGAGGCAGCGACGCGGCGUGGGGGAUGAAGGCCUUUGGGUGGUAAAAACCUUUCGCUAGGGACGAAGAGUUUUUGUGACGGUACCUGGAGAAGAAGCACCGGCUAACUACGUG
RNAcentral lists this ribosomal RNA (467 nucleotides) under uncultured bacterium. RNAcentral describes it as "partial 16S ribosomal RNA". It matches the Rfam family "Bacterial small subunit ribosomal RNA", at positions 28 to 507 of the family's 1533-position model. The record is from RNAcentral.